AUGAAGGGUGAGGAGGCACCGAAUAUGAUUGCCUUUUACAAAGAAACACAUUGGUCUAAGGAGAAGGGGAAAUUCAUCAAUGCAGCAAGUGAACACAAUUAUAAUCUGAUGGUAGAGAGGUUGAAUGAGAAAGAGACUGAAGAGGCUCAGGAUACUGAUGUUGCUGCUGAUGUUUUCAAAGAGGUCUUAGGGUAUAAAUCUGGCUAUGCACAAGGGCAGGGCCACUCAGUCAUUCCUGAGCCCUCCCUUUUUAUGCAAAAAAAUAAGGCAUUUAAACGAUUGGCCGAGGAGAAUGUAAGAAACAAGACUUUUGCAGACAUUUACAAGACUCAACUAGAGUCAAUUUUGGGUGAUAUGGCUGAUCUGCGCAAACAGUUUUCUGAGCAUGAAAAACAACUAAACAUGAUAAACUCACAGUUGGAGUCAAAUAGAGUCUCAAGAAGAGGCUCCAGGAGAUGCUUAGGCAUCUCUCAUAUGGUUGGGAUUUUUUGAGUGUUGGGGACUUUUGUGUUUUUUGUUCCCCUAUGGAAAUGGCAGUUAGUUAAAUGUCAAUGGUUAAGAAGGAGAUUGUGGGCAGGUUGGGGUGUUUUGAUAUAAAGUGUGGGAGGUGGUUAUAUAAGUGGGCUUUUUUUUUUUGCCAUCGUAACCUGGUAAUGUAAUGGAAGUUGCUGCAUGCAAACGUUUCGUGAUGGUAUGCAUCAGGGAUAUUGCUGCAUGCAUGUAGGUAGCUGCAUAUACUGAAUGGUUCCAACAGUGCACAGUUCUGUAAGUAUAUGACAACCCUUGCAUCACAGUUGAACAUGACCUCGACAGUUCACAAAGAGAAGUGAAAAAUAGAACUGGAUAGGAGAUCCAGAUCCAGUACUGAUGGUCUUCUUCAUUCACAAUAUACGGGAAUCUGAUCCUGAUAUCGAGGCUGCAUUGAUACAUGUGGAUGAGUGCAAUGGAGAUAUGGGGAGAUUUAAUUUGGAGCAAAGUUCAUCAAAUGGAUAUAUGUAGACAAGUUCAUAUAGUUGUUUUAUGGGCUAUAUAUACAAUAGUUGUAACAAUCAAGUUGAUGACCCUGUCUUGUCCCUCCCACAUAGUGAACAUUGAUGUAUUUCCAUUUCCUUAAAUGGACAGUAUUCAGGUGGUGAAUUAACUUAUAUAUAUAUAUAUAUGAACAGUACCUGAUAUUUUAUA
This is a long non-coding RNA of Juglans microcarpa x Juglans regia, 1182 nucleotides long. RefSeq lists it as uncharacterized. Lineage: Eukaryota; Viridiplantae; Streptophyta; Magnoliopsida; Fagales; Juglandaceae. The record is from RefSeq and is a predicted model, not a curated record. The transcript is spliced from 4 exons.